This 1629-nucleotide unclassified non-coding RNA is filed under the name Hevea brasiliensis (rubber tree). Lineage: Eukaryota; Viridiplantae; Streptophyta; Magnoliopsida; Malpighiales; Euphorbiaceae. The record is from RNAcentral.
CAUUUUCAUCCUUACUCCUAAACCUAAGUGUAACAUUUACAACCAAAAUUGAUGAAAUCAGCUGAGGUUUUCACUUUCCAUGCGCAUAACCAGAGUCAUUGGAAUUUGGAACUUCUAUAGAACGUUCAAUAUACUUUCUACAAAAUGACCAAAAAAUAAAAAAAGAGUAUAUCCGUACCUUCUUUACACCUAGAAGAUCGAUUUCAUCUUCUGCUGAGGACAGGAUGGAGCAAACAGAUAGCCAAUCAGCAUAAGACAUAGUCAAUCCAAUUCAAAAAGCUGAUCCAGUUGUUCAUCUGUCCACUGCGGGCGUGAAAUCCCCCAAGGUGGUAGCUGUAUCCGCUUAUGUUUAUCAACAUCCCCACUUUCUUGGUUGUCAAAGACAUCAAUUAAACCUGUUGCAGCACUUGCAUAGUGGGUACCUUCCAAUAUAUUGCCACUGCCUGCCUGAGUUGAAGGGUUUAGUUGUUUGCAUACCACUUCUUCGUCAUUAGUAUCUUUAUUCAUUCCAUUAGCUACUUCUGUUGCCCCAUUAGCCACAAUUUGAUUUUCCAAGAAAAGUUCAUUACAAGCAUCUACGUUUUGGUUUUUAUUGUUUCCAUCACUAUAGCAGCUGCCUCUUGUUGCCCCCUCGCUUUCCAUUUUUUUAUCAUUAUGUGAACUCCCUCUUGUAUUAGCAUUUUGUCUGAGACUAUUCAUGAUUCCAUCAGUCCUUCCUUGUGACAAUGAGAGUGGCAUUUGUGGCAUCCAUGACUUUUCUUUGUGUUCAAAAAAUGGACCAGCAUGUUUGACUACUGGUGCAGCACAAUUUUGUGUUGAUGAAAGUUUGCUAUCCUUGGAGAUGACCUUAACCAUAUUGCUAAGUGUUAUGUUGAGGUAAUGUGCAGAGCGAGACGGGGAAAAAACUGCUACCUUUUGGACUAUUAUCACGGCUCCGAUAGAUAUGUCCUUUCCAAACUCCCGCUCAGUGAGAACUCUGCCAUGAAUGGUACCAUCAAUUGUACCUGUUGGAUCCUUUAGAGUCACCAUCACAUCACCAAGGCCAUUUGGAGUGCAAGAUUUAACAAUGGCAACAACCUGAGCCACUUUAUCCAUGUUAAUCCUGCUCUUUAUCACACUUAAAGGAAUCCCAAUUGCACCAUCCCCAUCUGCCAAACCUUGGCAGCGAAUAAAAUCCACGGCGCAGAGCCAGGGGUCGCCAGUGAAAUCAUCAUCAUCUUCGGCAACACCGUCUUCCACAACCCUCCUAAUGUACUCCUGCGUUGGGAUUGGCUCUUCACAAAAAUCCCCAGCAAAAUUUUCACCAUUUUGAUUCUUCCGACGGCGGAGCAUGGCGGAUUGAACGGAUCCUGCAGGACCAGGGAUGAGGCGAGGAGAGGAGCUGGGUGGGAGAUGGAAUUGGGAGAGAAGAUUUUGUGGGUUUUGGGAGGGUAGAGUUUGCGAGGAUUGAGAGAGAGAGCAGCGCUGGAGAAACGGUUGAGAGACAGAGGGUGCGGCAGCGGUGCUGGUUUGUUGGUUACGGCUUUUGAGAGGGCGGAGAGAAGGGAGGUCUGAAUCGUCUAGAUCUAGAGCUUCUUCCCAUGGUUGCGCCAUUUUGGUGAGGUUUUGAGAAAGCGCGGGAAGUAUUAG